RNAcentral lists this non-coding RNA (56 nucleotides) under Rhodobacteraceae bacterium AsT-22. RNAcentral describes it as "Singlet oxygen resistance RNA X". It matches the Rfam family "Singlet oxygen resistance RNA X". Rfam says of the family: SorX (RSs2461)like SorY is a singlet oxygen induced sRNA that counteracts oxidative stress by targeting mRNA for a transporter in Rhodobacter. It also has an impact on resistance against organic hydroperoxides. The record is from Rfam by way of RNAcentral. Lineage: Bacteria; Pseudomonadati; Pseudomonadota; Alphaproteobacteria; Rhodobacterales; Paracoccaceae.
AUCACUUUCAUACCUCCCUGUUGGACUUAGGCCGAGCUUAGUGCUCGGCCUUUUUU